UACGAAGGAUGCAAGCGUUAUCCGGAUUCAUUGGGCUUAAAGGGAGCGUAGGUGGCCUUAUAAGUCAGUGGUGAAAUCUCUGGGCUUAACUCAGAAAUUGCCAUUGAUACUGUAGGGCUUGAGUAUAGUUGCCGUUGGCGGAAUAUGACAUGUAGUGGUGAAAUACAUAGAGAUGUCAUAGAACACCGAUUGCGAAGGCAGCUAACUAAGCUCAAACUGACGCUGAGGCGCGAAAGUGUGGGGAUCAAACAGG
Molecule: ribosomal RNA, 253 nt
Filed under: uncultured bacterium
Lineage: Bacteria
Description: partial 16S ribosomal RNA
Rfam family: Bacterial small subunit ribosomal RNA
Source: RNAcentral